Molecule: ribosomal RNA, 436 nt
Filed under: uncultured bacterium
Lineage: Bacteria
Description: bacterial SSU rRNA
Rfam family: Bacterial small subunit ribosomal RNA
Source: RNAcentral
UGGGGAAUUUUGGACAAUGGGGGAAACCCUGAUCCAGCAACGCUGCGUGAAGGACGAAGGUCUUCGGAUUGUAAACUUCUUUUGUUCGGGACGAAUGCCCGCAAGGGUUUGACGGUACCGGAUGAAUAAGCCACGGCUAACUACGUGCCAGCAGCCGCGGUAAGACGUAGGUGGCGAGCGUUAUUCGGAAUCACUAGGCGUAAAGCGCGUGUAGGCGGGUGCUUAAGUCUGCUGUGAAAUCUCCCGGCUCAACUGGGAGGGGUCAGCAGAUACUGGGCGUCUGGAGUGAGGCAGGGGGUACUGGAAUUCCCGGUGUAGCGGUGAAAUGCGUAGAUAUCGGGAGGAACAUCAAUGGCGAAGGCAGGUACCUGGGCCUUUACUGACGCUAAGACGCGAAAGCUAGGGGAGCAAACAGGAUUAGAUACCCGUGUAGUCC